GCCCAAUGGCCCACCCCUAGGACUAGGACAGGUGUUGGCGUUUUUAGGAACAGCAGGGUAUUAUCGGAAAUUCAUCCCUAACUAUAGCGCCCUGGCCAAACCCAUGACCAACCUGACCCGUAAGAACCUUUCCUGCCAAGUAACCUGGACCCCAGAGUGUGAGCAGGCAUUCCAGCACCUGAAAAAUGCACUGAUAAAUGCCCCUGUCUUGGCAGCUCCCAAUCCAACUAAACAUUUUCUUGUUCACACAGACGC
Non-coding RNA from Pelobates cultripes (western spadefoot toad), 255 nucleotides. NCBI's taxonomy places the organism in Eukaryota, Metazoa, Chordata, Amphibia, Anura, Pelobatidae. The record is from the annotation of a GenBank genome assembly.